This 605-nucleotide ribosomal RNA is filed under the name Enterobacter sp. RNAcentral's name for it is "bacterial SSU rRNA". It matches the Rfam family "Bacterial small subunit ribosomal RNA", at positions 521 to 1125 of the family's 1533-position model. Lineage: Bacteria; Pseudomonadati; Pseudomonadota; Gammaproteobacteria; Enterobacterales; Enterobacteriaceae. The record is from RNAcentral.
UAAUACGGAGGGUGCAAGCGUUAAUCGGAAUUACUGGGCGUAAAGCGCACGCAGGCGGUCUGUCAAGUCGGAUGUGAAAUCCCCGGGCUCAACCUGGGAACUGCAUUCGAAACUGGCAGGCUAGAGUCUUGUAGAGGGGGGUAGAAUUCCAGGUGUAGCGGUGAAAUGCGUAGAGAUCUGGAGGAAUACCGGUGGCGAAGGCGGCCCCCUGGACAAAGACUGACGCUCAGGUGCGAAAGCGUGGGGAGCAAACAGGAUUAGAUACCCUGGUAGUCCACGCCGUAAACGAUGUCGACUUGGAGGUUGUGCCCUUGAGGCGUGGCUUCCGGAGCUAACGCGUUAAGUCGACCGCCUGGGGAGUACGGCCGCAAGGUUAAAACUCAAAUGAAUUGACGGGGGCCCGCACAAGCGGUGGAGCAUGUGGUUUAAUUCGAUGCAACGCGAAGAACCUUACCUACUCUUGACAUCCAGAGAACUUAGCAGAGAUGCUUUGGUGCCUUCGGGAACUCUGAGACAGGUGCUGCAUGGCUGUCGUCAGCUCGUGUUGUGAAAUGUUGGGUUAAGUCCCGCAACGAGCGCAACCCUUAUCCUUUGUUGCCAGCGGU